AUGUGGGAGUGUGGCCUUUCCCAUCUGGUCACUUCCCUGCUAUAUAAACGCAUGACACUUGGCCCCAACCACAGCAGACAGAUCCGAUAUACUACUACUAGAAGAGCCUUCAUCCAGCAUAGCAGUGGAAGAACAGUAGAGCAGAGCAGAGCCUUCUUCCUGCACAACCACCUUGCUGUUCAGGCCUAUCUAGUUCAGGAUGGAGAAGGUGAAGAGCCAUGGCAGCAAGCACAAGGGAUCAGCAGGAGGAGGGCUGAGCAGGAUGCUGAGGCAACACAAGGCCAGGCUCUACAUCAUCCGCCGAUGCGUUGUCAUGCUCCUCUCCUCUUGAUCUCAUUCUUCUCUCUAGCUUUAGGCUUGACAAAUUCUUUGGUGCGUGUGUACAUACUACAUAGCAUAGGACAUAACAUAGGGUAG
Molecule: ribosomal RNA, 417 nt
Filed under: Triticum aestivum (bread wheat)
Lineage: Eukaryota; Viridiplantae; Streptophyta; Magnoliopsida; Poales; Poaceae
Description: partial small subunit ribosomal RNA
Source: RNAcentral